UGGACCCGUGUACAAGUCUCCUGGAAGGGAGCAUCGUAGAGGGUGACAAUCCCGUCUCUGACACGGACUUACCAGGGCUUACGCGAUGCGCUCUCGACGAGUCGAGUUGUUUGGGAAUGCAGCUCAAAUCGGGUGGUAAACUCCAUCUAAAGCUAAAUACUGGCGAGAGACCGAUAGCGAACAAGUACCGUGAGGGAAAGAUGAAAAGGACUUUGGAAAGAGAGUUAAACAGUACGUGAAAUUGCUGGAAGGGAAACGCUCCAAGUCAGUCGCGUCGGCCGGGGAUCAACCCUGCGCGAGAUGAUCGUGCACGGGCGUACUUCCUGGUCGAUGGGUCAGCAUCGAUUUCGGCCGUCAGACAAGGCCGCGGAGGAACGUGGCACUCCUCGGAGUGUGUUAUAGCCUCCCGUGCGAACGUGAUGGCUGGGAUCGAGGAACCCUCGGGCCCUUCGCGGGUGCCCCUAGGAUGCUGGCAUAAUGUCUUC
Molecule: ribosomal RNA, 485 nt
Filed under: Calostoma sinocinnabarinum
Lineage: Eukaryota; Fungi; Basidiomycota; Agaricomycetes; Boletales; Calostomataceae
Description: Calostoma sp. NKZ-2021a partial large subunit ribosomal RNA
Rfam family: Eukaryotic large subunit ribosomal RNA
Source: RNAcentral